AUAAAUGUUUAUAGUUUAUAGAAUUUAUUUAAAAAUUUAUUUUACAUAUAAAUUUUGGUAUUAAUUUUAAAAUUUAUUUUAAUAAUGAAUUAAUUAUUAUUGUAGUAAUUAAUAUUAAAUUAUUUAAGAAAUUAAGAUUUAGUAAUAUUUAAAUUAAUAACUAAUUUUGUGCCAGCAGUUGCGGUUAAACAAAAAUUAAAUUAAAUUUUAUUAGUGAUUAAUUAAUAAUUAAUUAAAUAGUUUAAAUUUUAGAUUAUUAGGUGAAAUUUUAAUUUAAUAUAAUAUUAUAAAAUUUUUAUGAUUUGGUAAAAUUUACUAAAAACUAGGAUUAGAUACCCUAUUAUUAAAAUUUUAAAUUUAAAAUACUAAAAUAGUAUAUGAUUAUUCAUUGAAACUUAAAUAAUUUGGCGGUAUUUUAGUUCAUUUAGAGGAAUCUGUUUAAUAAUUGAUAAUCCACGAAUAAAUUUACUUAGUUUAUAAUUUUGUAUAUCGUUGUUAUAAAAAUAUUUUUUAAUAAAAAUAAUAUUUAAAAAUUUAUAUAUAUAAAAUUAAAUCAGAUCAAGAUGCAGAUUAUAAUUAAGAAUAUAAUGGAUUACAAUAAAAUUAUUUAAAUGAAUUUUAAUUUGAAAUAAUUAAUUGAAAGUGGAUUUAAAUGUAAUUUUAUUUAAUUUAAUAAAAUGAUUAUAAAUUGAAAUAUGUACAUAUUGCCCGUCGCUUUCAUAUAAUGUAUAUAUCUAUAUUUAUGUUUAUACAUAAGUUGAAAUAAGUCGUAACAAAGUAGAGGUACUGGAAAGUGUUUCUAGAAAGA
Molecule: non-coding RNA, 808 nt
Filed under: Hyphantria cunea (fall webworm moth)
Lineage: Eukaryota; Metazoa; Arthropoda; Insecta; Lepidoptera; Erebidae
Source: RNAcentral